GUGAAGGAUCUCAAGAUGGCUGGGCGAAAACUUGCUCUAAAAACUAUUGACUGGGUAGCUUUUGGAGAGAUCAUACCCCGAAACCGGAAGGCCAUUGCUAACACCCUGAAAUCCUGGAAUGAGACCUUCACCUCCAGGUCGGCUACUCUACCUGAGAAACCACCCGCCAUCGACUGGGCUUACUACAAGGCCAAUGAAGCGAAGGCCAGCUUGGUAGAUGACUUUGAGAAGAAGUUUAAUGCCCUGAAGGUCCCUGUGCCAGAGGAUAAAUACAGUGCCCUGGUGGAUGCUGAAGAAAAAGAAGAUGUGAAAAGCUGUGUGGAGCUUUUGUCUCUCUCAAAGAGCAGGAUUGAGCAAUACAAGAAAGAGCUGGAGAAGAUGAACAUAAUUCCAUUUGAUCAGAUGACCACUGAGGAUUUGAAUGAAGUCUUCCCAGAAACCAAAUGAG
Molecule: non-coding RNA, 448 nt
Organism: Miniopterus natalensis
Lineage: Eukaryota; Metazoa; Chordata; Mammalia; Chiroptera; Miniopteridae
Source: RefSeq, a predicted model, not a curated record